This 301-nucleotide ribosomal RNA is filed under the name uncultured bacterium. Its description in RNAcentral is "partial 16S ribosomal RNA". It matches the Rfam family "Bacterial small subunit ribosomal RNA", at positions 509 to 809 of the family's 1533-position model. The record is from RNAcentral.
CAGCCGCCACGGGAAUACGUAGGGUGCAAGCGUUAAUCGGAAUUACUGGGCGUAAAGCGUGCGCAGGCGGUUAUAUAAGACAGAUGUGAAAUCCCCGGGCUCAACCUGGGAACUGCAUUUGUGACUGUAUAGCUAGAGUACGGCAGAGGGGGAUGGAAUUCCGCGUGUAGCAGUGAAAUGCGUAGAUAUGCGGAGGAACACCGAUGGCGAAGGCAAUCCCCUGGGCCUGUACUGACGCUCAUGCACGAAAGCGUGGGGAGCAAACAGGAUUAGAUACCCCAGUAGUCCCUGUCUCUUAUAU